AUGUGGCCCAGGACAAUCUGAUCUAGUACUUGAUCUAAUGGCUGGCAACCCUGUACAUGCAGGGGUUGGAACUAGAUGAUCUUUGAGGUCCCUUCCAACCCAAGCCAUUCUAUGAUCCUCCAGUGGAGCAUUUACAGAUCUCCCUGACAACUCACAGAGUCAGAGUUAUCUCUUGCCACCAUACCCACAGAUCAGAAUUUUUGCCAGAACAAACGUGUUCUUCUUCGGGUUCCCAAAGCAGAUUUGAAGAAGAAAACUUUUAGUCGGUGAAGGCUAACAAAGAAAUGAAAGAAAACACUCCCAAGCUGCCCUGCAAAGAGUCUCAUUCCCCAGGACACUGGCACUAACACAUGCCCAGAGGGAGGCAUGGUGCAGGGAGCAGCUCCCACCCACUGCUCCCUUAGCAGAGAACUACCAUGGUUCUGUCCAGGUGCAGUAAGGAGAGAACAAGAGGUUAAUUAUUGUGUAUCCAAGAGUAUCUUGUUGGGAUGAUAUAAAGCAACUUAAUAGCCGACUUUAAAACGUCAUUAAAAUUAUUUCACUCAGGUUGAGGCAGUGUAAAAUUCAUUUGUUAAUCAGAUAAAAGUGAAUCACCAUUACUACGGCAUUUUAAUUUUAACAAAUAAUAAUGAAAUGUAAAGCCUUUGAUACGGCAGCUGCUGAAGCCCAUAUAUCACAUUUUACAGUGAUUUAAAUGAGAAAUAGCACAAACAGAAGCAUUUGCAAUCAGAGGUUAGAAAUUAUAUUUUUAUUAGAAACUUUGCUCUUUGCCAUUUAAAAUCUAUUUCUUGUGUUCACAAUGAAGAGAGAUUCGGAUUUCAGUGUUCUGAUGGAGCUGAUGACGUUUUUAUGCAGGCAACAAUCUGAGAUUUUAUAGCAUGAAUGUGUAUGAGGGCCUUCAUCUGUAAGCCUCAAUGAGAUGACAUAUAAGUAAUUUCUGGAGAAAAAUUAACCAAUUUAAUUAAUGGGUUAAUGAGAAAAAUUAUUCCAUUCUACGAAGACCAUGUGAUGUCCGUUAUCAAACGGAAGAAAAGUACAGAAAAAUAUGAAAAAUAAAACAACAGAAGGUAACUUGGUGGGAAAGAACAUAAAACCUAGCGAUACCUAAAUAAAACUUCAGAAAGCAAACCAGACAUGCGUUUUACCUGCUCCCUGUGAGCAGCAGUCACAACACAAACUGCAAAGCAACACGCAGUGAACGGUGUUUGCACAGAGAGCUGGGUUCCUAAGAAAUGCAGCAGGACAGCACAGCUGGGAGCUGGGGCAGCCCCCGGGUCACUGCCAGCAGUGCCGUGCUGCAGCCGUUCAGUGAGCUGCCACGGGCACCCUGCCCCAGUCCUACCUCACUCCCAGCUACGGCCCCAGCUGUCAGAGCAGGGAAAAGUGACCCAUCCCUACGUGCAGGCCCAUGUAGCUGCAGAUGUAACCUGUUAGCUUUCAUUUUGUGUCAUUUAUCUGCUCCUUGCUGUGGAGCAGAGUGUAAGAAACUCUCUUAGAGCAUUACACAUUCUUCACAAAGCAGACCUUAAAAUACACUCUCUUUAUCUACAGAGGAGGCCAGUACAAUUGGACCUUUUACAGAUAAGGAACCUGUCACAAGCAGGACUAGGGGGAUUUACUCAGGUUUCCCAGCAGGAGCUGAGUGCAGAACAGGUCUUCAGAGCUCACUGCUGGGUACAGCAGUGUCUGCCACAUCUAUUGCCAAAUACAUUGCUCAGGAUUUGUAACCAGCAAGCAGAACACUGGAGGAGGUGUUUAGUUUAACUUCCAUUUCCAUCCUUUGCCACUUUGCUAGAUGCAUGCUGAAAACUUAAGAAUUUGAACACUGGUAAAAAAUGACACUUCAACCCUUAUUUCACACAACCACGUAUCUGCUGCUCGCUUUCUCCCCGACUCAGUCCAAACCCAAAUCACUUUUAUCACCAGCCACAGACCUGGGAAGGGCACUGCAUGGAUGAGUAAGUCCUUCACGCUUCAGCAGCAGCUUUCGUCUACCUGCUUCACGAACACGAAUGCAGGCACACAGGAACAGGGUCGUGCAUCACGUAUAUGCAACCUUUGAGGCAUAUGAGGACUCAAGAGGAAAAGGUGUAGGGCAACCUCUGCCACAUUCUAGCAGGGCAGCAGCAGUGCUCUUUCCUCUGGUGCAAGGCAUGAGCUCUGCAUCAUGAGCACAGCUGCAGCUGAGAGUACCUGGACUUCAGAACCAGGCACUGACCCACACCUACUGAAGAAAGGCUGUGGUGCCUGACAGCCCUUUAGCAACUUUUUCUAUUGUGCUAAACAAUGAAUGACCAGAGCCAUCUGGAGACCUAGGAACACAGUUGUCCUCCCCCUCAGCAUUUCAUUGCCUCAUUUGAUAAGAACAGCAGAGGGUACCUGCACGGGGUAAGGCACAGUGAUGCCCUUCUAAUGAGAAUGUGGGGUGGCUGCCCCGCCAGGCUGCUGAGAACAGCUUAAGCAAAGACCUCUCAAGACUGGUUCAGACUAGUGCUAUCUUUGGGUAGAGGGUACAAGCACGAACCUUCCGUGUCAUUUUAGAUUUAAAGAAGGACCAUUAAUAUUGGAAAACGGUGCUGGAUCUCACGUUCCUCCUUCUCUUCUCUCAGAAGCUAGAGGCAGCGUCAGUGUGAUGUAGGAGAGAAAAGAGCUGUGCUGAUGGGCCCAGUCCUCAGGGUGCAGUGCCUGAGCCCAGGGACAGACAGCAGGGUGCUCAGGGCCAGGCACAGGCAGCCUCAGCCUCAGCACGUGAGGACAAAGCAUCAGAGCCCAGGUGGGGCAGCUGUCACAGAAGAGGCAUUCAUGGUAUUGUUACUGGUCAUAAAAGUGGUAAUUAAUAAUUAACCUGACCUCAUCCUCAACCCUUAACAACAGAGCAUCUACUGGUAUAACUUCUUGACAUGUAAUUUAUUGCGUUACUCAAUAACGCUCCUCCUUGACAACCAAGAUGUCAUUUACAGGAAACAGAACCAUCCAGUUUCAGAAGCCUCCACCAUCCAAAAAGAAGCAUAGGUACUGCAGGAAAAUCGGGACUUGUCAGCAAUGGAAAGAACUACACUUCACAUUUUGAUGGAUAUCUGGUGCUUACAUAUCACAUGUUACUUGGUUACACAGCAGUGAUCAAAUGGGCCAAUGCCGUGACAGAGGUUUUUUGUGUCCUCAUCAGAGCAUCCAGAACCACAACAGCCAAUAUUGCAGACACAAGAGAUGUUAUGGAAAAAAUCAAGAAAAGGAAAAGAAACAAGCAGUUCCAAGGGCUGCUAAUCUGGUGGAACAGGCUGUUCUUUGGAUUUCGGUCUCGUGUUGUUCUUCUGGUGGCUAUGUUACUGGGUAAAUUCCAACCAGGGCUCUCUCAUGUAUGUUCUCCUCUGUCUGAUAAGAAAACAGACAAGCCCUUCACUAAAUAGAAGGAUCUGUCUCAUCUAAUCAGCUGUGUAUUUUUACAGAACAUGCAGGAUUUUUUGAGACCUCAAGCCUGCUGUCAGAUAUGGUUAAAGCUAAGUAGUGGGUUGAAAAAUCAUUUUGGAGAACAGAAGGAUGCACACGUAAGUGUUACUCCACUAGGAAACCCAGGAGCAAGCAGUGGUAGGAGAAAAACUGCGUGCUAGCUUACACACCACUGCACGUGUCUAAUACAAGGGACUUGUUGAAAAAGGGCCUAACUGAGAGAUGAUCCUGGCUACACUGGGCAGCUAGUGCUUUAUAUGGGAGGAAGUUGUGGGUUCACUCUGGGGCACACCUGGGGCCACCAGCAGGCUGUCCCUGCCAGCAGGGCACAGCUGGAAUUACAGCUGGACCUACAGACGGCAGCACUGAGGUAGCAGGGUGCUGCUGUACAACACAGCAGCCUAUGUUCUACCUGUUGUUACGGCUCUCUUUAAUCUAACGUAAAUUGCAUAACUUCUUUGACUCAAUUUCUCCACCUAUAAAACAGUGUUAUUAAUACAUGCCUGAUAACCUCAAAGGCUAGUACAGCAUAAUUAACAAGCGUGUUCAGUGCUUUGAAGACGGGAAUCUCUGUGCAAGUGCUUGGUUGUGCUACCCACACAUGGAUCUUUUGUUUUAGAGCUUUGCCUCUACUGCGUGUAAACUGUCCUGUGGGGAUUUACGAACAAAUCAUAGAACACCCUGAGUUGGAAGGCCCCACAAGGAUCAUCGGGUCCAACCCUCAGCUCUGCAUAGGACCACCCAAAAACCAAACAUUAUGUCUGAGAGCAGCAUCCAAAAGCCCUUUGAACUCCAGCUGUGCCCACCACCCUCUGGGGCAGAACCCUUCCCUAACCCCCGCCCGGCACUCCCCUGACAGCUCCGUGCUGUUCACUCGUGCCCUGUCGCUGUCCCUCCGCUCCCUGUGAGGAGCUGCAGGCCCAUGAGAGGCCUCCCCUCAGCCUGCUCUGCUCCGGGCUGAACAAACCGAGGGCCCUCAGCCGCUCCUCAUACACCUCGUUCUCCAGACCCUUCACCAUCUUUCUUUGCAGCCCUCCUUUGGAUGCUCUCUAAUGGUUUUAUGCCCUUCUUUUAUUGUGAUUAUUACCCUUUCCCGAUUUUCACAGAUCCACGUAUUUUCAUAACUACUUUGUUAAGCUGACGCUUUCCUUUGGGUUUCCACAGGUCUGCACCCAUGGGUGUCUGCUGCCAGGACUCACAGAGCCUGGACAGGGGGUGUGUGCUUGUGUUUUGCUCCAUGUGUACCUUCCAACCUCCCGGCAAUGAAACCAAUUUCAAAGCAAACAUACCAUGUAGAUAAAGUAGGAAGAACCAACCUGCUCCAGCUUAUAAAAAUCUCAACUAGAGUUCUUUUCCACAAAAUUUUGUCAAUGUUCACUCAAACUGAAGAGGUUAGAAGAAAAAAGAAAAAAAACACAAGUAAGAUUUGGACAUGGGAACAGGCUGCUCAGGGAUGUGGUGGAGUCACUGACCCUGGAGGUGCUCAAGAAAAGUACAGAUGUGGUAUUCAGGGACAUCGCUCAGUGAGCAGUGCUGGUGGUAGGUAGAUGGCUGGACAAGAUGAUCUUAGAGGUCUUUUCCAACAUUCAUGAUUCUGUGAUUCGAAGGUGAGGGCACUACGAUCAGCAGAGAUGGGCUCUUUUUUAUCUCUUAGAGUCUGAAGGAGUGCAAACUAUGGAUUAGCAAUCUUCAUCUGGGCCUUAGAGAGGAAAUAAUCCAUACAAAUACUGCCAUUAGGCUACAAACAAAUGCAUGCAGCAUACACUGGGUAUACUGUGCUAAUGCAGAACCUGCAUUCAAGUCACUCCAACAAAACCCAAGCUUCUGAGUAGCUACUAUACACAUUACAGCCACAAAACCGUUUGAGUACUUGGUGGCAAAGCAUUACAAAAGCCAACAACAAGUGCUAAAAGAUGUUUUAUUCCAGCAAAGACGUACAGCUCCAGCACUGCCUUGCCAUGAAGCACACGGACUAUGCAAGUGUGCCCUGCUGCAUUCCCUUGGCCAGGAGGGCUGGGGAUCAGACAUUAGCUGGCCAGGGUGUCCGGGUCAGUGCCAGCCCCUUGCACAGCCCAGAAGCAGCCUUCCUUCAGAGUUCUGGUGAGAAAACAGGCAUGAACUGAAGUCAGGAAGGACCCCAUGCAAUGCUCUCCUUUCUCGUGAAACAUGGUUCUCCCUUGCUUUGAAAGCUUGGUCCUAUAAUCCCUCCAAGCAUGGAAAGAGAGGGGAAUAGUACUGCAGGGGCACAGCAGUGAGAUGCCUCCAUUUGCACUUUGGUAUUUGGGUGUUGUUUUGGGAGAAGGGGCGUUGCCUGCUCCUUCUGAUGUUUGCAAUUGUACUGAAAGCAAGUUGCUUGCUCAAAAGUAGGUGCCCUUAUGUUUUAAAAAGAGGAACAGACUACAUCUGCUCGUUACAGUCCAGUUCAGAAACACAAACAGGAUUGAACUACACUGAGGAGCUGCUCUCACUGCUUCUCCCCUGUACCUCAGCCAGUUGUACAAGAUUUGCUGUCUUGGAUAAACUUUGCUCUUUGGUUGACUGACCACAUUUUGCAAUUCUUUUUUCAAACUUGUUUGCAGUUGUGGUAUGCAGCAGAGAAUUAGCUCUUUGGCAGAAAGCAUGGAUUACUUGACCUCUAUAAAACUUAGUAAAAAUGAGUGAAAUCAGGACCUCCCCGAAAAACAAAUGUUACAGCCAACUAAGCCAGCUGCAGAAUAUGUUUUUAAUUGCAAAUGGCUCAGGGACUUCAUGGACUUAGAGGCUAUUGCAGGUGCUCUCUUGGAUAAGAGAGAAAUCUGCCCUAUUUCUGGUGUGUGAAAACAUAUCUCUGCAGAACACAGGCAUUAAAGCAUACAUCACAUCUACUUGUUUAUCACAGAGACAGAGCUGAAAAGGUCUAAACACAAGUAUCUCGAACACCAGUGAUACAAAAUACUCAGCUGCAAGAAACAAGGGCUUGCUGCUCUGGUUGAUCUGCUGAACUCUGGAGAGCAAACACCACAACCAGAGUUUUUAAAACAUGGAUUGAACUUUUAUUUUUUUCUAGAAGGAGCACCUGGAAUUGCAAGGAAAGCUAAAAUAAAAGUAAGUACAGGAACAAAAUGCAGACAUUGAGAAUUUAAAUUACAUGCAGAGAAUCACAGAUUUUAUGCAAUCAACAAUAUCCAGAUUGUUCGUGCUUGAGUCAUAAAACAAGUUUUAAAGCAUGAAAAACAAAUCAUUCAUGUUGCUGAGACUGUUAUUAUAGGAUACGUUUCUCUGAGGUGUAAUAGUUUCAUCUCUAUUACAUUGAAUGCUGUCAGUGAUAAUCUGUCCUCGGUCACUAUUUUUGCUAGCAGCUUAUUUGUCGUGGAUAAGACUUCCUGUUUUUUGAGCACCUCCUAUCUGAUCCACUCACUGAAGUCCCCGGUGAUAUCUGUAAUCUCAAGGCAUUACAAAGGAAAGAAAAGUUUCGUUCUCUCUGCAGAGAGUUACUAUUUUUACAUGGUUGCAUUGCAGCUAUUCAUAGCUACAAAAUGUUAAACUGCUGCAGCAGUUCGUUCAGAUGCAGAAAACCCGUUUUCAGCCUCUUCCUACAUUCAAAAUGCUGUCAGAGAUUCCUACAAAUUUAUGGUAAGAAAAUGAGCUCUUAAAAUGCAUUGCACGCUGUACCACUACUUCACCACAGGGAGAAACAUGUUAGAAGGAAAACUAUGUUUCUCCCCAAAAGAGGCAGUAAAAAACAAUUAAAAAAAAAAAGAAAAGGAAAAGGUUUUUAGGUCUUGAAUCAAACAGCUGAGUGAAUCUGAGUUAUGGGGUGUCAUUCUUAAAAGCAUUUCUGAAGCCACUUGGAAGCCUACAUCUGAUUUUAGUCAGUGGUAUUCACACCCAGACGCCUCUGAUCUGUAUGUUAGUGACUACAUACAAUUAUUAGUGAAUGAAACGCACAGCGCGCUCGAUUCUUACUAAACUGCUGGCUUAAGCUAUAAGGAGAGAAAGGGAGUUCUGCAACCCAGCCAACUGACGGCAUGAAAACCAACAGCUCCACAGCUCUCGCCCCAUUCCUGGGGCCUCAGACCUGUGAACAGCCGCUCCUGGCUUUGUGAGGAGCAAGGAAGGCCAAGGGAGCUCCUUUACCCCAAAGCCAGCUGCAAGCACCACAGCAAGGACCACCGCAGAACAAGAGAAGCCCUGGGCAGCUCUCCCAACAUGGGGCACGCUACGUGAAGCCUGUGGCUGGCUCUUGGCAGAGGGUCGUGCCAACCAGGGAAGGAAGCCUGGCAGUUCCAAACCUGGGGGCACUUUCUCCAUUUCAUGUUCUAAUAAUAGUUUCUGCAGCUUUGCCUCAUGUAAGCUUCCCAGCAAACGCCUGACUGCAGCACAAAACAAUCCUUCAAACAUCUCCAUUUCACCCAAGAGAGACAAUUCCAGUCUCUUUAGCUUUUUAUAAAACCCUUUCAAGAGCUCAGUUCUCUUUUUCACAAGCAGCUCACCUUCCCCUAAAAUGUGCGGUUAUGAAUGGAGUGAAGUAGCAGGGAUGAGUUCUGGCCAUAACAAGGUCCCCAGCUGACGUGUUUUCUGACAUCAUCCCCAGCACUGCAGGACUCAGUCAGCCCGACAGCCCGUGCUGCUGUUCCCAGGACACGGGCACCACUCCACAAACAACAGCUAUUCACCUCAUCUACCGCAUGUGGGUCAAGAGCCAGGUGCCUUAUAAAGCAGCACAGAAUGUUUUUUCUGGUGCACCCAAGGCUUUAUCACAGCAGCUGUUUGGGAUUGGAACACAGGUCAGCACGCCGUCCCCACCUCCUUUCUGGCCUUGCUGUUUCCCCUUUGCAUGCCAAAUUCCUUCUUGCUGCAGGAGCCAGCCAACAUUGCUGUUCUCACCUAGCUAUCAUGAAGGCCUCCAGGAAGAGCUGAGAGAGUAUUUUUCAAACAUCAACUUGCAUAAGAAUCCAAUUUUCCUGGUUCUGCAUUUAAACCUCCAUCAUGCUUAGGAACCACAAAUAUUUCUGUGAUGCGUUCAGUGUCAGAGAAACUCAAGAAGAAAAAAAAAAACACCUAGAUUCUAGAUUUACGUUAGAGGCUAUCCCCAGAAAAGUCGUUUUUAACUCGAACACAAGAGCCUUUGCUCAACGCAGAUCUAAGACACUAGCCUACACCUAAGAGUUGGACCUGCGCAGUCACGACCCAUACACACACACAGACAUUACGACCUACAGAGUGUCUUCAUGAUGAAGAUACCAGCUGAAGUCACCUGGAGGCCUUCCUGACCUCCUCUGUGAAUACCAGAUUUCAAGAAAAGAGCUUCAACUCUUGCUUCUCCGCAGGGGCUGGAAUGAAAUAAUGCUCUCGGGGUACACUUACAGGACACAAAGCAGCUCCAUCAGCAAAUGUCUGUCUGGGAAUAUAAUCUCCUCUAUAGGACUGGUUACACCAGGGCCCAACUGCCAUGGUGCUCCAGCUCCCAGCAGGUGGAACAGCCAGCUGCACCCAAAGUAAGCAUGCACAUCCUGCCCAGAAAGGAAGGGGGAAACCACAGCCUGCUUAUCUCUUCAGUAAAAGUGCACCUGGCACUUCUGCAGCCAUGCUGCUUCCACUACCCAAGCGAACACAAGCGGCCUUAAGCAGCAGCACUUGGCACCACACUCAGGGCUGGUGCUUGGCAGCAGCGCCCUGCAAGCCAUAAUUAGCUCAGCUAGCCUCAUGCAAGCUCAGACCUGCAAUUCUGUUCCCUCCAGGAGCAAUGACAAACUGUAAGCACUGUCCAAAUAACCUCUUGUAAGCAAGUGGUAUCUAUUUAAAAUAAACCUCCCUCAACACUG
Numida meleagris (helmeted guineafowl) is the source of this 9251-nucleotide long non-coding RNA. RefSeq lists it as uncharacterized. The record is from RefSeq and is a predicted model, not a curated record. The transcript has 2 exons. Lineage: Eukaryota; Metazoa; Chordata; Aves; Galliformes; Numididae.